This 190-nucleotide ribosomal RNA is filed under the name uncultured bacterium. RNAcentral describes it as "partial 16S ribosomal RNA". It matches the Rfam family "Bacterial small subunit ribosomal RNA", at positions 1310 to 1500 of the family's 1533-position model. The record is from RNAcentral.
ACCCGACUCCAUGAAGCUGGAUUCGCUAGUAAUCGCGGAUCAGCAUGCCGCGGUGAAUACGUUCCCGGGCCUUGUACACACCGCCCGUCACACCAUGGGAGCCGGUAAUACCCGAAGUCAGUAGUCCAACCUCGUGAGGACGCUGCCGAAGGUAGGAUUGGCGACUGGGGUGAAGUCGUAACAAGGUAUC